This 27-nucleotide non-coding RNA is filed under the name Bombyx mori (domestic silkworm). Lineage: Eukaryota; Metazoa; Arthropoda; Insecta; Lepidoptera; Bombycidae. The record is from RNAcentral.
GGUUCUAUUAACGAUGACGCAAGAAGG